GACGAACGCUGGCGGCGUGCUUAACACAUGCAAGUCGAACGGAAAGGCCCUGCUUUUGUGGGGUGCUCGAGUGGCGAACGGGUGAGUAACACGUGAGUAACCUGCCCUUGACUUUGGGAUAACUUCAGGAAACUGGGGCUAAUACCGGAUAGGAGCUCCUGCUGCAUGGUGGGGGUUGGAAAGUUUCGGCGGUUGGGGAUGGACUCGCGGCUUAUCAGCUUGUUGGUGGGGUAGUGGCUUACCAAGGCUUUGACGGAUAGCCGGCCUGAGAGGGUGACCGGCCACAUUGGGACUGAGAUACGGCCCAGACUCCUACGGGAGGCAGCAGUGGGGAAUAUUGCACAAUGGGCGGAAGCCUGAUGCAGCAACGCCGCGUGCGGGAUGACGGCCUUCGGGUUGUAAACCGCUUUCGCCUGUGACGAAGCGUGAGUAACGGUAAUGGGUAAAGAAGCACCGGCUAACUACGUG
RNAcentral lists this ribosomal RNA (468 nucleotides) under uncultured bacterium. Its description in RNAcentral is "partial 16S ribosomal RNA". It matches the Rfam family "Bacterial small subunit ribosomal RNA", at positions 28 to 507 of the family's 1533-position model. The record is from RNAcentral.